Molecule: ribosomal RNA, 163 nt
Filed under: uncultured Pacispora
Lineage: Eukaryota; Fungi; Glomeromycota; Glomeromycetes; Diversisporales; Pacisporaceae
Description: partial 18S ribosomal RNA
Rfam family: Eukaryotic small subunit ribosomal RNA
Source: RNAcentral
CGGUGCCAGCAGCCGCGGUAAAUCCAGCUCCACUAGCGUAUAUUAUAAAUGUUGCAGUAAAAAAAUGGUAGUGAAUUUUGGAAUUUGUUUUACGGUUGGAAUCAACUGGUUUGUACUGGUGUGAAGAAUUUCUACCCUUUCUGAANAACCAUCAAAUGUCAUG